This 3044-nucleotide long non-coding RNA is filed under the name Callithrix jacchus (white-tufted-ear marmoset). RNAcentral describes it as "lncRNA (ENSCJAG00000078938.1)". Lineage: Eukaryota; Metazoa; Chordata; Mammalia; Primates; Cebidae. The record is from RNAcentral.
CUCUAAUGAGUCCCCCUAAAUCUGCCAUCAGAUGACUUUACUGACUUCAGAUCAUAAUUAACCGACACUCACUUUUUGCAGUUAUGUUGACUUUUUCCCCCCAUUCUGUGUUUGAAUGUCUGGACCCAACCUAAGUCAUAUUUUCCGACAGAUACUUAAUGACCCAACACCAACAAGGGACGCUGUCUUUUCUCGUCACUUCUGAAAGAAAUAGUACAGGAGUGGGAAAGGGGGAAGCAGCCUGGAGUAUUUUCCAGAACCACUUGAUGUCUUAAAAGCUGACCGUCCUCAUCAAUGCAGAGAUUUGGCCCUCGCAGCUGACCGUCCUCAUCGAUGCAGAGAUUUGGCCCUCGCAGCUGACCAUCCUCAUCCAUGUAGAGAUUUGGCCCUCGCAGCUGACCGUCCUCAUCGAUGCAGAGAUUUGGCCCUCGCAGCUGACCAUCCUCAUCCAUGUAGAGAUUUGGCCCUCGCAGCUGACCAUCCUCAGCGAUGCGGAGAUUUGGCCCUCGCAGCUGACAGUCCUCAUCGAUGCAGAGAUUUGCUUCUGUCCCCAGGGUUUUCGUACAUGAGGCUCCUGGAUCCUUACAACACGAUGACAUAAGUACCUUCACACUUGAGGACACUAAGGCUCAGGGAGAAGUAACCCGCCAGCAAUCGAUGAAUCUGGAAUGUGAAUGCCUCUCCUUUCACUCUAUAUCCCUGUUCUUUUCCAGAUAGGAUGUACACGAUCAUUUCUCAACUGCAUAUAUAAAGCAACAGAGAAAAUGUUCUCUGCAAUUGACGAUCAAGACAAAAAAAGCCUCCUUUGUAUUACGGUGCAAUGUAGACUUACUUAACUUUUGUCAGUGGAAAUGUCAAACUUAUUUUAAGAAAAAUGUUCAAAAGAUUUCAAAGAUAUCAGAGGACACCUCAAUAAAAGAACAAUGGAAAUUGUAGCUCAGCCUCUUCUUCCACUGGCCCUGAGUGUACUUGGCAAAGCCCAAUUGCCUGGAGGUAAGUUCCUCUCCAGAGUUCCUGUCUUCAAGCAUCACCUCUUGCUGCUCUCACCUUCUGUUUCUCCAAGUCUGUGUUCUGUUUCCAUACAGAAUGGGAGAUGGAAGAGGAAACAGAGGCAGAACUACCCUUUAUUCUUCCGUGGUAAAAUGAUGAACUAAUUCAUACUCAAAUGAUAAUGGUUGAGUUUUAUCAUGUCUUCCUACCAAUAUUCUGCAGAUUGUCCCCAGAGAAUUGCCACCUGGGGGCAUGGAAAAGUGCCUUAGAGCUGAGCAUGAGAACAGGGUCUGCUCCCAUGGAAGGAGCAGAAAGACGCUGAGGGAUGCUGCAUAACGACGAACCACGCAUUCAGGAGUCCAAAUGCUGUUGGAGUCCUGCAGUAGUAGUGUCUACUAAGCAGCAAAUACUUCCAUAAACCUCAGUGUCCUUUUCUAUGAAAGAAACACGUACCCUUCUCACAGGGUUGCUGUGGGGGAUUAAUUGAAACGAUGCAUGUAAAAGAGCUUUGAAAACUGUAAUGCACUUAUGCAAAUAGGAAUUAUAAAAACCCCUCAGGGCCCUGAGAUGGUAAGAUAUUAUUACCAUGGAGCUGGCUUUGCUUAGUUAAAAUCAAGAGAAGUUUUGAAAGUUAGUAAGAUCUAAGAUUUACAGGCUACCUUUUGUGGCCUUGAUCCAUUUUAUGCUUCUCCUGACUCAGCACUCUGGGGACUUCAAAGAGGAAUCUACUCAGAGAAAAUGUGCACGGACCGGGGAGAAGAGUCAGGAAGCUCGUGACUGGUUACCUUCUCCCUCCCGUGGCAAGCUUCCCAUCCCUGCACAGCGAUGUGGUGAGCUGGCUUUUCUCCUAUUACUAUCCUACAGGCAGGCCAGGACUCUUUCUGGGGGAUCAGCAGGACGCUGAAUUCCACUUGUGCUUUCUCGUAACAAACCAAAGGCAGGUCUUCUCUUAGCCGUGUUGGGCAUCCAGGCCUUUGGACCCGCUGUUUAUUGUCACCUGACACCAGGGCUUUAGAUAGUGCAUGUCAUCUCUCCUCACUCCUUUUAGUCUGAGAGCCAUGGAUUGCAUUGCAAGUCCUUUACUGCCAUUGUAGCAUAUGAUAUAUUUGUGUGGAAGGACACACACACAGUGUCUCUCCUCUUUCUAUUUUCUGUAGCAAGAGCAUAACUACUUCAGAAGUGAGCAAUAGUGAGCUUUGGACAAAAUCUACCACUUGGCUUGAAUCUUAAGGUAAUACUGUGUUUGUCACUGACUGAGCAGUUGAAGGGAUGAUAUUCUCCAAAGAUGUACAAUGAUCAUGCUUUCAGAAUAGGUGUUCAUUGGCUCCACAAAUUCCUCGUGAACUUCUACCAUGUGGCCACCUUGGGGUAAAUGCUGAGCAUAGGACUGUUAACUAAGACCAGUGGAGUCUUAGCCACAGGUCACUGGGAGAAGACAGACCUUAAACAAAUAAUUAUGCAAAUGCAUAAUUAACUACAAGAGUAAUAUGUGCCGAUUAGGGUUGUCAGGUAAGAUACCGGACACUCAGUUAAAGCUGAAUUUCAGAUAAAUACUUGGAAUUUACUUAUACUAAAAGAGUAUAUACUGUUUGUUAAAUUCAAAUUUAACUGGGAGGUCUAUACUUUUAGUUGCUGAGUGUGACAACCCCAGCAGUUAUGAAGGGGUGCAGGAUACUCUAAGAACAUAUUUACUGUACGUCUUAAGCUUGUCUGAAGUUAACAGUGAAAUGGACAACUCAGGGCUAGCAGUAGAAGCUGAUGAUCCAUUACCAUUAACUAUAAUUUAGUAUUUCCAAGAGGGCAGGAACCCUCAUACACAGCUAAAGACGCAACAUUGACAAGAUAUGGACAAGGUUUGUCUAAUAAGUACUCAUAGGUAGGAAGCUGAUUUAUAAAAUUUAAUAUUGCCGUACAGGGUGAUUUAUAAAUUGCACCAUGGAAAGGUUUUAUGGGAAAUUUCCAUGCAGAGCUCCAGAGCUCAGGGCAGGUGUAGGACUGCGUUCCGAGAAAGUCCGGAAAUGUUCACCCUGGCCAAUUACUGCAAAUCCUCUGUU